Long non-coding RNA from Cygnus atratus (black swan), 4948 nucleotides. RefSeq lists it as uncharacterized. The record is from RefSeq and is a predicted model, not a curated record. Lineage: Eukaryota; Metazoa; Chordata; Aves; Anseriformes; Anatidae. The transcript has 3 exons.
CUUGCUGCUUUACUCCACUUUUCCAAAGGCAGUUCCAGGAGGCGCCCAGCCUGUAAUUUAGGAUGGCACAUACUGUGUGAAAGAGGCUUUGGCACCGGGGCCUACCAGCACAUCAAGGUGAUAUUAACAUAAUAAAACGUUUGGAGAGGGAGUAGAAGCUCAUAAAUUAAUGCAUUCUACUGUUUUAAUGCUAGGAGCUAACAAUGCGUUUCCUGUGCGGCUGAUCGUCCCCGCUGCAGCCUAACAGCUGUUUUAAAGCUUCCAGUUUGGAAGAUGGCCACCACAGAGCUUCCCACCCACAGAAGACAUCCGAUGGAUGCAGAUGCCAACCACACAUGGGGGUUGUGCCCCAAAGACACCGAGGAGUGCCGAGCUGCUGGGGGGCAGGCGGGAAUGCCCAUCUACUGCUGGGCUCCUCAUUGCCAGGUGAUGCUCCUGCUGCCAACCAAAAGGGCACCAAAUCAUCUCCACCCCAACCCAAGCAGCUUCCGAAAGGAUGGUUUCCAAAGCCAAGCUCGCAUUCUGCAUGGUGGUGGCGCAAAUUGUUCCUGUACAAACAAAAGAACCCUGUGCAAUUGCUUACUUUAAUCAUCCCAAACAUUCAUUAAUGUCUCCAUGUAUUCCCAAAUAUAGCAAAGAAAUGGCUCCCCAAGCCGACCCGCUCCUUCGUUCGCAGCCUUCCCUGUUAGUGCAGCCUUGGAAUAGUGUCUAGAAGGCCACACAGCUUCUUUGGGAAAACUGGGAUGUUUGGAACAUGAGUGGAUUCGAGCAUUUCUAAACUUCCCAGAAGAGGCAAAUCGUAAAGGAAUAAACUUCUUUCUGUGCACGCACUUUUGCUUUGGAGCCAAAUGGAAAGGAGAGAUCAGAAAAAAAAAUGACAAAUUGUUUGGAAAAUAUUGUCCUUCCCAAGACAGACCUAACCAUAUGGGGGGAAGGGACUCAAUACGGAUUUUUUUCCCUUUCAAUUCUAGUCCAGCAGUCCUCCCAUUCACUCCGCUGGGAGGUUUGUGUGAGUCAGACCUGCAAGAUCAUCCAUUCAAGGCCAGUAAUAUUUCCAGCACUUCAGUCCACUCCUAUUCCCUGCUGAAGCAAGAUGGAAAGGGUUCCCCCCCCCCCCCCCCCCCCAUUUGUGGUGGGAGCAGCAGGAGGGGGCUGAGUGCUCUCCUUGCUGCCUCCCAACUUCUCCCACAGCCCAGCAUUGCUGAAGAUGAGCUGCAGGGAAGGAAAGGGCAAAGCUGCUCCAGCGCUUAGAAAAUGUGUCUAGGAGUUUGUGUGGAUGACUGCAAAAAGCAGAAAGCCUGCUGGAACAUGGAGAAUAAAGCAUGAGGACGGGGAGAAGCCCUCUUUCCAGCCCUGCCCCAGCCUCCUGGUGUGAGCCCAGCGAGGUGCACGAGGUUUUUGUGCCUGCAGCCAACCACCCCCACCUACCCCGGGACGCGCGCAGGUUAAGGCAGGAAUGAGUCAAAUGGAAGAGGCUUUAAAGGAGCAAGAUGUACUGAUGUUUCCAUCACGCUUGUGAAAGGCUGCUGUAGCAUGCUGGAUCAGUUAGGACAGACCUGGGCUCUUCUUGGACAAAACGAGUGGUACGUUGUUACCUUUGUGGUUAGCUGGAGCACAGAAAAUACUUGUUGUGGCAAAGAAAUCCCUUUAUUUCUUUCAAAUCACUGAAAUUAUCAUCAUUGUCAUCUUUAAGUAAUAAACCAGCUCGAUAUUUAUGCAUGCCCAACUACUAGUGGUGACACUUAUGCAACAACAACAAAAAAAGCCGAAGCGGUUGUGUACAUCAGCAAUUAACGGCAGCGUGCGGAGCAUGCAAGACGCUUUGAAGGAGAUGUUGGGAAAGAGACUUUUUUUGUGUGUGGUUGUGUUUAUCCCCUGGUGACAUGCUGCUAACAAGCUGCAAACCAAGGAUCACCCACAACAAACAAAAACAAACAAACAAAGUUUUGUAGAGGGUGGUAAUACUUAGUUUAAUUCUCCGAGGCCUUUAAAAAUAAUUAUAGCCCUGCUUGUGACAACUGGAAGGGCUGCACUUACUCUAAUAAAACUGCUUGUUAUUCUUUAAGAAUGACAUUUGGAGAUGUUUCCUUAUACAAUGUAGACAUUAAUGGGAGGAGAUCUCAAUCAAUGAAAUAUUGAUGCAUUUCUCAUCUUUGCACUAGCAGGAUUUCUGAUGCUGCAGCUUGUGGUCAGCUGUUUACUUGCCAGUUAAAUCACAGCACUUUUAAUGACUUUCUAGAGAUCUGUCUGAGGACUUACUGCCAAAGAACAGGAUCGUGGGGAUUUCGGCAUUACUGAAAAGUUACUCAAGGUCUAGACAUCGGUCCAAGGAUCUCUCUACUACAAUUUUAUUCCAUGCAUUAAAGGGAUGAGCUCCAGGCUGUGAUGGGAGGCAGGAGAGGGGGCUUUGGCCUGGCCCAGCCUCUUCCAUUCCUGACGUGGGAUGGUGCCAUGGAGAAGGACUUCCCCGAGCCAGCCCUGCCUCCUCUCCUGCCGUGGGACGUCCCCGUCGUGUGCUGUUACUGCUGUAUCUGCUAUGAUUGAUGACUUCCAAAGUUGCUCUAAAACUAUCCGAGUGCCUGCUGAGCCAUCUGAAACUCAUCUCCACUCUGCGCAUGGGUCCCCAGCACUCAUUUUUCAGGUGACCAUGCUGGCCUGGGAGUGGAAAUGAGGAAAGCACACAUUACUUGGCAGGAGCUCCGUACCGAGAGGCGAGACGGACGGCGCUUUCUGGCAGCAUGCGCGGGGCCUCAUGCAAAUGAAAACUGAUGGCUUAAUAUUUUGUUACAUUUUCCCACCAGAGUGAUUACCUCCUAAUUGCAGGGAUGGAUUAAACCGAAGAUAUGGUGCUGGUUCAGGGAGAGCUGCCAUGUGUCAGCCUUGAGCUGUCACCGGGAAGCGGGGGCCGUGCCUCUGCCCUCCCGCUCCUGCCUUGUGCUGGGUCUUGUCCCUCCUCGUGCAGCCUCUCCACGCCCGGCUCCUUGCCCACACGCUGAAACUCGGGCACACACAGAGUGCGAGGUGCCAUUUCCGAGGGAAUGUGCUCUUUCUGUGUGGUUCCAGGGGUUUGGGAGGAUGAAACAAACUCCGCAGCUAUUUCUCAAUGUGCGUCUCAUUGCUCGGGGAUGGACGGUACAAAGCUGUAUUUAGAUGACCUCUUUCUUUGCCAAACCUAUCCCUGAGGUCUGCUGAAUUCAGCAAGGCAGAAAUGAGAGGCAGCUUCCAGGGGAAUCCUGAGAGCAGUCGGCGGAGCUGAUGUGACAAAACAUCACUUAUGCACCUCUGAGUAUUUUCCAGCAGAGCUUGGCGCUGGGCUGAGGAUGCUCAAGGUAAAUUUGGCAGCUGCACACGCAAAGACCUGCAGAGUGUUGCUACGCCCAAAAACUUUGCACUGCAUGACUCCCUUGAAGAGCUUCUGGCAGUGCUCCUGCAGGGUCCUGCUCCUGGGCCAGAGGACAGGGUCCUGCUGAGGAUGCUCACACCUCUGCUCUCCUCGGACCUGUGUCUGUUCCAGGCUGCUGUUUCAAUGCUGCAUUGCCAGCCUUCUGGCCCAAGGCAGAUGUUGAUGUCUCUGUCUUUGAUUUACCACGACCAGCAUCAGCAGCAAGAGCCCAGGAGCACCUACAUUUUAAGACAAACAGCACAAAAUAAGGGUUUACACCAUCUUCACCCUGCCUGCUUUCAAAACCAGAAAAAGAAGAAAACAAUAAGUUUACAAAUUCUGUUGAAAAGUUCUGUUGCUGUAAACUAUUUGUCCAUUGGAAAGAUUGCUUUGGGAGAAGCACACGCCAUCCCAAAUCUAUCUAUCCAUCCCCACGCAGGGGUACCUCUGGACCUCUCCUCUGGUUAAAGGCUCUGCCACCCCUCCACAUCUGUGCCCAGAGCUGCUGCUUUUACCUGGCUUUUAAUAUGCAGAUUUACAUAGUUCAGCAUUUCAGCUAUUUUAAAAAUUGCCUUUCACCCAAAGCUGCUAUUUUAUUACACACUGCUCUCAGCAGCCCCCUGUUUCCUUCAGGCCCUCUUCCCCAAAAAUUCAUUUGAAAAUCCCAAGUGAGGAACACACAAGGUCUGAAGUCACUGCAAAGAGGUGAGAAGGAGAGAUGUUUCUUAUGCCUGUUUUAAUAAUGCAGACAAAAUGAUGACAGACCUCUACAGAGACGGGCUUGUCUCUGCCACAGGGCACAAGCACGGUUCCGUACCCUGCUCGCACAGGGCAGAGCUGGCUGGUUCCUGGUGCAGGGCUGUGCCUCUGGAGGUGCUGUCCCAGGCUGGGAACUACCCGUGGUUGGGGAGAAGAGGCAUUUCUGGCCACUGCAAAUACAGAGCGUGCCAAAAACACGUUUCCUCCGAAGGUAUAAAAGGGCUGAUCCACCUCCUGCCAAAGCAUGAUGAAACUAAAUGAGAGAUGCUCACAGCAAUGAAAGAGAAAGAAGAUAAAUGAGUCUGGGUGCGGAUAUUUGGCAUUUAGGAAGCCAAUGAAUUGUCCAUGUAUGCAUAUUAAAAAUACCUUUAGCAUUUUUGCUUUCCCAAAGGGAACAUCUACAGAAGAAGACCAACCUGGGGCUCUCCCAGUGCUGGGGCUGACCACAACAUAAUCACCAAAACUAGGUGGAAGGUUAAAAUUAAACACCUGUGUGGAAAGUGUUUGCAGCAGAGAAGUCUGCGUUUGCUUGUGAGCAAGAGAAUAAAGGCAUUCAUCCAGCUCGAUGAAAUACUGGGAGAUCUAUGGGUGGAAAGUGCUAAGUAUUACAAUUAUUAUUUACUAUAUAUUAAUAUUAGUUAUUCAGAGGAUUUGUGUGUGGAGGAAACUUGGAGGAUCUGGUCUGGCUCUGUGUGUGCCAGGACUCUCAAGGGAUUUUUUAGUGUCUACCACAAUUAUAGAUGAGGACUGAGUGAAACCUUGUGGUUUUACUCUACAAAACAUUAAAUUCAGCGACUGCCCAUGUUU